AUGGUCCGACUACGGAACCAAAAUAAAAGAAGACAACCCCAAAUGCUAGAUCCCCGAUCGCCCCAACUGGGCGCCACUACUGAUCAACCAGAAAGACACAACACAACGAUCAAGAUCUUCAUCGAGCUCCCACUUGAGCUGGGUUGCGCCACCUGCACUGGUAUCAACGGCACCUUCGACUGUUUGGAAGUAUCUGUGAGCCACGAGGACUCAGCAAUCUCACACCCGCGAGAUCAAGACUAUUUAAGCUUAUGGGUAGGAGAAAGUAGUGAGGUGGAGCUGCAGCAAGCACUAAGCAUAUAUGGUGGCUAA
This 312-nucleotide ribosomal RNA is filed under the name Triticum aestivum (bread wheat). Its description in RNAcentral is "partial small subunit ribosomal RNA". The record is from RNAcentral. Lineage: Eukaryota; Viridiplantae; Streptophyta; Magnoliopsida; Poales; Poaceae.